AUGCCCGGCUGGUCUUUCAAACAGAAUCCUCAACGCCCCCCUCCACCACCACCACCACAAGCCUCCAGGGGUCCCAGCUACCUGCAUUCCUCCGAGGACCCACAUACCAGAGUACCUAGCAAGGCCGAGCUCCGCACCAUGGAGAAUCAAGGAAGACCAGGGGGCCUCCCUUCAAAAAGCAUAAGCAACCAAGCAAACUAUGAUACACGACAGAAUGGUGCCAAGGGAGAACUGCUGAGCACUGUUUCCCAAUUUCCUGUUACAGAAAAUAAAAUCCCACUGGUUCCAAGAGAGAACAUAUCCCAA
Molecule: long non-coding RNA, 306 nt
Organism: Homo sapiens (human)
Lineage: Eukaryota; Metazoa; Chordata; Mammalia; Primates; Hominidae
Exons: 2
Source: RefSeq, a predicted model, not a curated record